UAGGGAAUCUUCGGCAAUGGACGAAAGUCUGACCGAGCAACGCCGCGUGAGUGAAGAAGGUUUUCGGAUCGUAAAACUCUGUUGGUAGAGAAGAACGUUGGUGAGAGUGGAAAGCUCAUCAAGUGACGGUAACUACCCAGAAAGGGACGGCUAACUACGUGCCAGCAGCCGCGGUAAUACGUAGGUCCCCGAGCGUUGUCCGGAUUUAUUGGGCGUAAAGCGAGCGCAGGUGGUUUAUUAAGUCUGGUGUAAAAGGCAGUGGCUCAACCAUUGUAUGCAUUGGAAACUGGUAGACUUGAGUGCAGGAGAGGAGAGUGGAAUUCCAUGUGUAGCGGUGAAAUGCGUAGAUAUAUGGAGGAACACCGGUGGCGAAAAGCGGCUCUCUGGCCUGUAACUGACACUGAGGCUCGAAAGCGUGGGGAGCAAAACAGGAUUAGAUACCCUGGUAGUCCACGCCGUAAACGAUGAGUGCUAGAUGUAGGGAGCUAUAAGUUCUCUGUAUCGCAGCUAACGCAAUAAGCACUCCGCCUGGGGAGUACGACCGCAAGGUUGAAAC
RNAcentral lists this ribosomal RNA (556 nucleotides) under uncultured bacterium. RNAcentral's name for it is "partial 16S ribosomal RNA". It matches the Rfam family "Bacterial small subunit ribosomal RNA", at positions 355 to 900 of the family's 1533-position model. The record is from RNAcentral.